Molecule: long non-coding RNA, 1035 nt
Organism: Harpia harpyja (harpy eagle)
Lineage: Eukaryota; Metazoa; Chordata; Aves; Accipitriformes; Accipitridae
Exons: 3
Source: RefSeq, a predicted model, not a curated record
AGAAUACAGACAGUUGCAGUAUCCCUACUGGAACGUACCCACAGCUUCUGGUGUACACAACUCUGCUGCUGCAGUUGCCUAGAGCAGCUGCCAGCCUGGCAGACAAAGUGUUAACAGCUCCUCUCCUGAAAGAGCUGGGACUGCUGCGAUUCAGCACUGCUUUGCUGACAGGAUGAACAGCCCCUGCAGGGGUGAGUGCAGGUGCUUGGAACAGAGGACCUGGUCUAUCAGACCAGCCAUGCAGCAGACUGCUCUGACACGACACAAGCGGUGUGGGCCAUUCUGCCACUUCUGCUGGAAGAAAAUGCAUGACCUCUGCUCCGAGGAGUAGGCAGACCAUUUAAGGUAAAACACAUCUCUGCCAGGUGUUCUGCUGAUACCAAGUAAAUUCCUGCAAACUUAGCCCACAGCUAGCCAAGCAGUGGGUCAUCCCAGAUCAUUACUGGAACAGUGCAGAGAUUGCAUUAGAUCAUCAAGGCAUAUCUGAAGAUGCACAUCAUCUCCCUUAUAACAACUUCUAGUUUCUGAGAAGGCUAAUCAAGAGGUGCAUCCAAUAGCUAAGCACUUACAGACUGGCAUCCUGCUCACCAGAAGGUAUUUAGCUACUAUAUAUCAACCCAGUCUUUCAUGCUAUGACUCGUGCAGGUAGGAGCUGGUAAACUCUAACCACAAAAGCUGACAAUAAAACCACAUUUUUCUAAAGACAGUCAGCUUUUUUGUUUUGCUCUGAGGUUUAUCAAAGAAAUAAGGCAGCAGAGUCAAAAAAAGUAGCAUAUUUUCCCACAAAGCUUCCAGCCAGGGACCUUUUCCCCCUCAGGUUGCUGAGCCAUAGAGUCUCUUUGCAAAGUUAACUGUGUGAAGUACAGACUUUGUCACCAGGUCUCAGAGACUGGUCACUGCAGGUAACUGCCUGUUAACACUGCAACAGCAGUGAUGCAACAUAAUUCACCACAGUUCCUUAACACCUGCUGCAACAUCCCCUCCAUCCAGCCUUCAGAAUAGCAGACCCCAGCUCAAGGCGUUUGGUUUGGGAGU